Molecule: non-coding RNA, 92 nt
Organism: Mycena alexandri
Lineage: Eukaryota; Fungi; Basidiomycota; Agaricomycetes; Agaricales; Mycenaceae
Source: the annotation of a GenBank genome assembly
GACCCGGUGGCGUAACUGGUAACGCGCGCAAUUGCAGUUUCUUCACAAUAUUGCAUAAUUGCGAGUCCCUCGUUCGAUUCGGGGUCGGGUCG